This is a long non-coding RNA of Pseudophryne corroboree (corroboree frog), 1557 nucleotides long. RefSeq lists it as uncharacterized. The record is from RefSeq and is a predicted model, not a curated record. Lineage: Eukaryota; Metazoa; Chordata; Amphibia; Anura; Myobatrachidae. The transcript is spliced from 2 exons.
GACGGCGGCGCGGACCGGAUUUCGCGCUGAUUGGCUGAGGCUCCAAACCAGGAACUCCUCCCUCCCUGCAGAGUCCCUAGUAGUUGCCAGGCAACAGCGACCAGCUGCUGUGGGCGUCAGUCAGGAGGCUUGCGCAGGCGCCCCAGUCACGGUCGCCUAAAGGACUACAUGUCCCGUCCACCCUUUCGCGGAGUUUUUGAACGUUACAGCGUCGCGACUCGCGCCUGUCUCGCUCACACAGGCACAGAAAGAAAGAAAAAUAAUGCCCGGGAAGUGGAGGAGGCUGUUAGCUAUUGCGGCCUGGGGUGUAAGAGCUGCUGCGUGUCGCAAGGCAUUGUCUGGGACAGACCUAGCUUAUGGGAAAUGUUGGUUAGAUAUUAGCAAAUCGUAAGUCCGCUGUCAUGUCCGGAGUGUUAAAACUGGUUCCUUACCACUACGGUGUCUGUCCAGGCGCGCUGCUUCCACACACUGCUCCUGGUUAAUGCAUCAGUCUGUUUGCGCUUAUGCCCGUGUGAUGCCUCCAGCAGUUCGCCAAUGUCUCAGGGUAAAACACUGUACAGUACAUGCUGUCUCAGGACUGAGCCUCCAUGGUGCUUCGUGGUGUUUGGGCUUAAACCAAAGUUUUCUUGAAACCAGCUCAUGGGUGCCGCAAUCUUGGUUUCAGUCAGCUGAUUUCACUGUCCAAUCCAGGAGCUUCUCACAACCAGCUGAUCACAGCUUACAAUCACUGAGCACUCCGGGAACUUCCUGCUGACGUCAGUACAACAGUACGCCAGACCCACUUCUUCACCAAGGCAAAAAAGAGAAACUACCCUAGGAUAAUAAACUCCUGGAGCUGGAUGGGACGGUUCAACGCAGCAGCUAACCACAAAGGGGUUGGUCAGACCCCAAAUAAAACACGAGCACAAGAAAAUAGUAGCGCUUGCAGGUCACAAAUGAGAGAGGUAGGUCACAACAAUAACACAAUUUAAUAAAAUCGUAAUCAGCAAAAUCUAAAAGAUGCAUAUAGAAUACACAUUGUAAAAAAUAUUUUUAAAAAAGUUGGUUUGUAAAGUUAGCAGUGCUCCUCCCAAUUUCAAAUAGGUGUAAAUUAUGAGAAGUUCAAUUAACCUGUUCCAAAAAAACAGUCCCCUUGGUCCCAAUAGGCCCGUGUAGAUCACAACCGUAAAUGAUAGUUACCACCAGCGUCUUUCAAGGCGUUUAAGCGGAUAGGCAUCCGCAAAUAGCUUUCCUUUGAUUGGCGAUGCAGAAAGAGUCCGAUGGUGUGAAGGGAUCUCUCUUUAAACAGGGUCCAAAAGUAUGUAGUAACAGGGGACUUGGUCCAGGUGUAGAUGUUCCAAUAGGUCGGUGGUGGGAGUGAGCACAAAACAGGUCUCACUGACGCGUUUCGUUGCGUUCUCCCAACUUUUUCAAGGUGCUGCUAGUGAGGGUUUAUAAACCACAUCAAUAUGGCUGCUCAUUUGCAUGUGUAAUUGAUUGUGACCAUCCCCUCUCAUUGUGUGACCAAAUAAUGACAGACAAUAUAUGUAAUAAAACUUAUUCAAGAAUACAAUCUCA